GCUGAUUCUGCAGACAAGUGUACAGAUAUAUAGGCACAAAAUAUGCCCACAUGAAUGAAAAAGAUGGCUGCAACCUCCUCAGGUUUAUUUGUCAAGUCUAAACCAGUGGUUCUUAAAGUACUGUCUGUGGACCCCUGGAAUCCUUAAGACCCUUUCCAUUACAGAUUUGUGUGAGGCCAAAUUUUCUUCAUCUAACUUCAACCAAAACAAUGUAUCACAUCAGAUUGGAUGCAAACGCAGACAUGAAACCACAGCUGUUUUCCAUUAAACCAGACAUUAAAGAAACUUAUAAAAAUGUAAAACAACGC
RNAcentral lists this long non-coding RNA (308 nucleotides) under Heterocephalus glaber (naked mole-rat). Its description in RNAcentral is "lncRNA (ENSHGLG00000025780.2)". Lineage: Eukaryota; Metazoa; Chordata; Mammalia; Rodentia; Bathyergidae. The record is from RNAcentral.